CUUUUUGGUAUCAAAUUGACGUGCUUCGAGUAUUAACACAAAUGUUGGAUAUUUUGGAUAAAUUGAAUAUUUUCAGAAUGGGUUUGAAAUUGAAUUGUGAACUACGAAAGACUUGAUCCCGCUCAAGGUUACGUAGGCAAUCUAACAGAGUUAGUUGUAGCCUUAACUAAUCAAAAAUUAAUCUUUUGUUGAGAAGUGGUUUUAAUAGAAGAAAUUGAGGAUAAAAUUGAUAAUUGAAUCCUAUGUUUUAGAAGUUUAAAAAUAUGGUCAUAUAAAUGUAAAGGGAUUAAGGAACUUAGAUAAAGAAUUGCGAUUAAGGGUAGUUAAGCAACAAGAGUAUUGAAUUGGGCCUAUCAUCGAAAUUAUUGCCCGAAAGUAAAUAUUUCGGCAGCGUGGCGUUACAGAAUUGCCUAACGGAGCAAAAUCCAACUGAUUCACCUGAGCCAAAAUUUCAUCGCGGGACCAUU
RNAcentral lists this long non-coding RNA (467 nucleotides) under Malus domestica (apple). RNAcentral's name for it is "long non-coding RNA (MDOM_LNC016558)". The record is from RNAcentral. Lineage: Eukaryota; Viridiplantae; Streptophyta; Magnoliopsida; Rosales; Rosaceae.